Molecule: ribosomal RNA, 713 nt
Filed under: uncultured Pseudomonadota bacterium
Lineage: Bacteria; Pseudomonadati; Pseudomonadota
Description: bacterial SSU rRNA
Rfam family: Bacterial small subunit ribosomal RNA
Source: RNAcentral
CUUAACACAUGCAAGUCGAGCGGGCGAGGUUGCUUCGGUAACUGAGCUAGCGGCGGACGGGUGAGUAAUGCUUAGGAAUCUGCCUAUUAGUGGGGGACAACAUUCCGAAAGGAAUGCUAAUACCGCAUACGCCCUACGGGGGAAAGCAGGGGAUCUUCGGACCUUGCGCUAAUAGAUGAGCCUAAGUCAGAUUAGCUAGUUGGUGGGGUAAAGGCCUACCAAGGCGACGAUCUGUAGCGGGUCUGAGAGGAUGAUCCGCCACACUGGGACUGAGACACGGCCCAGACUCCUACGGGAGGCAGCAGUGGGGAAUAUUGGACAAUGGGCGAAAGCCUGAUCCAGCCAUGCCGCGUGUGUGAAGAAGGCCUUUUGGUUGUAAAGCACUUUAAGCGAGGAGGAGGCUACCGAGAUUAAUACUCUUGGAUAGUGGACGUUACUCGCAGAAUAAGCACCGGCUAACUCUGUGCCAGCAGCUGCGGUAAUACAGAGGGUGCGAGCGUUAAUCGGAUUUACUGGGCGUAAAGCGUGCGUAGGCGGCUUCUUAAGUCGGAUGUGAAAUCCCUGAGCUUAACUUAGGAAUUGCAUUCGAUACUGGGAAGCUAGAGUAUGGGAGAGGAUGGUAGAAUUCCAGGUGUAGCGGUGAAAUGCGUAGAGAUCUGGAGGAAUACCGAUGGCGAAGGCAGCCAUCUGGCCCUAAUACUGACGCUGAGGUA